AAAAUAUUCUUCUCCUUACAGAUGGCAUAAAUAUGAUUGUGAUGCUAAUCAUCAUUACAAUUGCGCUAGUAUUUCCGGAAUCCUUGUUUUUGACGACGGUGUUGUCUUACUAAUUAACUGGUGGACAAUAUCUGCUAAACACAGUUGUACUAAUACUCGGCAUUACAUGAAGUAUGAAAUUGAAGUCAUUAAAUAUGGCUGCGAAUCAUUUUGUUUAUUGGAGAGGUAUGUAUUAUUUUUAAAGCAGGUUCAAAUUACGGUAAAUCCGUAUAGUAGGUAAAAAAUGACACGUAAGCCAUUGUCGUGCCACCUGUCUUGAAAGAUCAAGAGCUGUAAUUGUUCUGAAACAUUGAUUACACAUUGCACUGCUAACGCGUUCGCUGAUAAACAUGUAACUGCUCAGUGAAGUCGUUCGAAUUUCGACCAGAGCUAUUAUGUUUUCGUUUGCAGUGUUUUCCCAUAUAACUGUGCAACGAUGUUAUGUAUGUGAUG
Molecule: long non-coding RNA, 492 nt
Organism: Bombus impatiens (common eastern bumble bee)
Lineage: Eukaryota; Metazoa; Arthropoda; Insecta; Hymenoptera; Apidae
Exons: 2
Source: RefSeq, a predicted model, not a curated record